RNAcentral lists this long non-coding RNA (1282 nucleotides) under Astyanax mexicanus (Mexican tetra). RNAcentral describes it as "lncRNA (ENSAMXG00005010120.1)". Lineage: Eukaryota; Metazoa; Chordata; Actinopteri; Characiformes; Acestrorhamphidae. The record is from RNAcentral.
CCUGGAGCUGUGGACUCUUCGUGGAGCUGUGGACAAUUCAUGGAACUGUGGACUGUUUGUGGAACUGUGGACUGUUCGUGGAGCUGGCUGUGUGGAGCAGUGGUGAGGAGGAUGAAGAGGAUGAAGGCCAGGUGGAGGUUCUGGUGGAGGUUCUGUUGGACUGUUCUGUCUCUGCUCUGGACCUGCUGGACAUGGAUCUGCACUGGAAGCCCCACCUCGGUUCUGGCUCUACAGCGCCACCUGCCUUUAUUAGUCCCAUUCAGAAUAUCUAUAGCUCUAUAGAUACACAUAGAACCCUGUUCCAAACACAAGGUGCUGCAGAACCUUUUACAGAACCAGACCAGUGUCCACAGGAACCAGAGAGGGGCGGGGCUUAGCCAAGACUUCAGUAUAUCAAAGUUUCCAUUGGCUCAAAAAAGGGGCGUGGUUUAGCCUAGAUUCUGUUGGCUCAAAAAGGGGGUGUGGCUUAGCCUAGUCUCCAACAUAUGAACAUUUACAGACAUGGGAGGGGCGUGGUUUAUUGUAGAGGGGCGUGAUUUUGCCUAGUCUCCAGCAUUUUUACAUUUCCAUUGGCUCAAAUAUGUAUGUCCAAUUUUUCUAUUACCUCAAGAGGGGUGUGGCUCCAGUAUGUAAAAGUAUGUAAAAAGUAUGUAAAAGUUUCCACUGACAUGAGAGGGGCGUGGCUUAGUCAAAAGCAGUGUGGUUUAGCAUAGAUCUUAUUAUAUCAAAGUUUCCAUUGACUCGAGAGGGGUGUGGCUUAGUCUAGAUUCCAGCACAAAAAAAAUUACACUGGCUCGAAAAGGGGUGUGGUUUAGCCUAGUCUCCAGUAUUUCUCAGUAAGUUUCCAUUGGCUAAAGAGAGGCAUAGCUUAUUCUUCUCUCCAGCAAAUCAAAAUUUACAUUGGCUCACAAAGGGGCGUGGUUUAGUUUUGACUCCAGCAUAUCCACAUUUACACUGCCUCAAAAAUGGGCAUGGUUUAGCCUAGUCUCCAGUAUUUAAAAGUUUCCAUUGGCUAAAGAGAGGGAUAGCUUAGGCUAGACUCCAGCAUAUCAAAAUUGUCACUGGCCCAAAAUGGGGUGUGGCUUAACCAAGUCUCCAUCAUAUAGAAAUUGUCUUAAAAAGGGGUGUGGCCUUGUCUAGACUGCAGUAUUUUAACAUUUAUACUGCCUCAAAGGGGUGUGGCUUAGUCUAGACUACAGCAUAUCAAAGUUUCCAUUGGCUUGAGAGUGGCAUAGCUCCAGGCAGGUCCCAGAGAACUAAUUCACUGUUGUUCUGACUUGCA